Molecule: ribosomal RNA, 496 nt
Filed under: uncultured bacterium
Lineage: Bacteria
Description: partial 16S ribosomal RNA
Rfam family: Bacterial small subunit ribosomal RNA
Source: RNAcentral
GAUGAACGCUGGCGGCGUGCCUAAUACAUGCAAGUCGAGCGAACAGACGAGGAGCUUGCUCCUCUGACGUUAGCGGCGGACGGGUGAGUAACACGUGGAUAACCUACCUAUAAGACUGGGAUAACUUCGGGAAACCGGAGCUAAUACCGGAUAAUAUAUUGAACCGCAUGGUUCAAUAGUGAAAGACGGUUUUGCUGUCACUUAUAGAUGGAUCCGCGCCGCAUUAGCUAGUUGGUAAGGUAACGGCUUACCAAGGCAACGAUGCGUAGCCGACCUGAGAGGGUGAUCGGCCACACUGGAACUGAGACACGGUCCAGACUCCUACGGGAGGCAGCAGUAGGGAAUCUUCCGCAGUGGGCGAAAGCCUGACGGAGCAACGCCGCGUGAGUGAUGAAGGGCUUCGGAUCGUAAAACUCUGUUAUUAGGGAAGAACAAAUGUGUAAGUAACUAUGCACGUCUUGACGGUACCUAAUCAGAAAGCCACGGCUAACUACGU